Molecule: long non-coding RNA, 5065 nt
Filed under: Sus scrofa (pig)
Lineage: Eukaryota; Metazoa; Chordata; Mammalia; Artiodactyla; Suidae
Description: lncRNA (ENSSSCG00045015303.1)
Source: RNAcentral
GCCUGCAGGGUCUGCUGAAUCUAGCUUUGCAGCUCUGUACUGUGACAGAGGGCCACUGUCUAAGGGCAGCCAUCGUCUUUGAAGGCACUGCUAUUUCCCUUGGCCUGGUAGGAAAGUAGAGCAUGGAUUCCCUCUUCUCCAGGAACUUGGCCAGUGUCCAUGCCUUUCCUAGCAGCCCUUCCUACCUCUUCUCUCCAGGACAGUCUGCUCAGUGUAGCCCAGGCUUUCUCUAGAGACAGGAAGCCUGUUUGUCUUUGGUAGUUUCAGCUUUCCACAUUGGAAAAGCCUCUGAGUUGAGGAAAUACAGGGUGCUUGACAAAGGAAGGCUUAGGAGAGGUAGAGGAGAGGAAAGAGAAAGAUAAAGAACUUUUUUUUUUUUUUUGCUUUUUACAGCCACACAUGCAGCAUAUGGAAGUUCCCAGUUUAAGGGUUGAAUUGGAGCUGUAGCCACCAGCCUACACCACAGCCACAGCAACACGGAAUCUGAACUGCAUCUGCAACCUACACCACAGCUCAUGGCAGUGCUGGGUGCUUAACCCACUUAGCAAGGGCAGGGAUUGAACCUGUGUCCUCGUGAUUAUACUAGUUGGGUUUGUUACCACUGAGCCAGAACAGAAAUUCCGAGAAAGAAUUUUUAACAUUUUCAUUUACUGCUUGUUGUCAUCAAUACUUGUCCUAUUCAUGUCUGGCUUCAUAUUUUGAGAGCAUUUCUAUAAUUAGAGAAAUUUCCACAUCAUGGAUCCAUCUCCCCAGGGUCAAAAGUGAAAAUUCAGUUUCCAGCCUCUUCUGCCACUUGGACUUCAGAUCUCCAGGUGGAAGCACAUAGGUGAGACCAUGACUUGGAAGAGAACCAUGUGAAAAACUGGCCCUGUGCACAGCAGGUGUGGCUUUGGGGGAAUAAUAUUGUUGUAGGGUUGGGUGCCCUGCUGAGUAGCAGUAAGGUUCUGGCGUUUAGGGUUUAAUGAAGGGAUAGAUGCAGCAGCGUUUUGAUCAAGCCAGUUCUGCAGUAUAGUUUUGGAUGUUUUCUUAGAAAUUUAACCUUGAGCUUGUUUCUCUGGCUAUCUCUGAUUCUGUGAACUUCCCCGGAUCCUUUUUUUUUUAAUUAAAAAAACUGAUUUAUUGAGGUAUAAUUUACAUAUAAUGAAAUACUCCCUUUGGGGUUUAUUGUUUGUUGGAUUUUGACAAAUGUUUACACUGUUCUAAUAAUCACCACAGUUGUGAUGUUGAAUACUUCUUUCACCCCUGCAGUCUUCUUUGUGCCCCCUUUCCUCUCUGCCUCAGCUCCAGCCCAUUUUCUGCCACUAUGGUUUUCCCUUUUCCAUAAUACUGAUUUUUUCAAAAUGUGGAUACAUACUGUAUAUAGUUUUUGUUUCUGGGUUCUCUCACUUUGUGUAAUGCCUUAGAUAUUUAUCCAUGUUGUGUGUGUCAGUACUUUGCUCCUUUUUGUUAAUAAGUAAUUUUCUAGUAUAUGGCUAUGCCACAGUUGCUUUAUCCAUCCGCAAGCUGCUGGGUGUUUGAGUUGUUUCCAGGCUUUUUUUUUUUUUUUUUCCUCUUGUGAAUAGAAAUGCUAUGAACACUUGGAGAUAGUUGUCUUAUUUUGUGUGUGAGUGUAUGUUUUUACAUCUCUUGGAUAAACACCUAGGAUUGGAAUUGCUGGAUAUUAUGGUUAAGUGUGUGUUUAACUUUGUUAGAAGCUGUGGAAAUAUCCCAAAUGACUGUACGACUUUGUAGGUUCCCUCUUCUCCACAUCCCCUCCACUCUCCAGCAUUUGUUGUUUGUUGACUUGUUAAUGAUGGCCACUCUAACUGGUGUGAGAUGGUGCCUCAUUAUAGUUGAUUUACAUUUCUCUAAAUUAGUGAUGUUGAGCAUUUUUUCACGUGCCUGCUGGCUCUAUGUCUUCUUUGGAGAAAUGUCUAUUCAGGUCUUCUGCCCAUUUUUCAGUUGGGUGGUUUAUUUUUUUGGUAUGAGAUGUUUGUAUAUUUUGGAGAUUAAGUCUUUGUUGGUUGUAUCAUUUGCAGAUUUUCUUCCAUUCUGUAGGUUGUCUUUUUUUUUUUUUUAAAUGAUUUCCUUUGCUGUUCAAAAGCUUUGGAGUUUAAUUAGGUCCCAUUGGUUUAUUUUUCUCUUUAUUGUCAUUAUUCUAGGAAGUGGAUGAAACAGGAUGUUGCUGAGAUUUAUGUUAAAGAGUGUUCUGCCUAUGUUUUCUGCUAGGAGUUUUAUAGUAUCUGGCCUUACAUUUAGGUCUUUAGUCCAUUCGAGUUUAUUUUUGUGUCUGUUAUUAGAGAAUGUUCUAAUUUCAUUUUUUUAAUGCAGCUGUCCAGUUUUUUUUUUUUUUUUUGGCUAUUUAGGGAUGCACCCAAGACAUAUGGAGGUUUCCAGCCUAGGGGUUGAAGUGGAGCUACAGCUGCCAGCCUACACCACAGCCACAGCAAUGACAAAUCUGAGCCAUGUCUGAGACCUACACCAUAGCUCACAGAAGUGCCAGAUCCUUAACCCAUUGAACAAGGCCAGGGAUAGAACCUGCAACCUAAUGGUUCCUAGUUGGAUUUGUUUACACUGCGCCACUAUGGGAACUCCCCCAGCACCACUUAUUGAAGAGACUUCCUCCACUGUAUGUUCUUGCCUCCUUUGUCAUAGGUGCUUGGGUUUCUUUCUGGGCUUCCCUGUUGCAUUGAUGUAUAUUUCUGUUUUUGUGCCAGUACCAUACUGUUUUGAUGACUGUAGCUUUGAAGUAUAGUCUGAGGUCAGGGAGCCUGAUUCCUCCAGUUCUGUUUUUUCUUUUCAAUAUUGCUUUGGAUAUUUUAGGUCUUUUGUGUUUCUGUACAAAUUUUUAAAUAGUUUGUUCUAGUUCUCUAAAGAGUGUCCUUGGUAAUUUGAUAGAGAUUGCAUUGGGAUCUGUAGAUAGUAUUAUCAUUUUGACUAUAUUGAUUCUUCCAAUCCAAGAGCAUGGUAUAUCUUUCCAUCUAUUUGGGUCUUACACAAAUCUUUGAUUUCUUUCAUUAGUGUCUUAUAGUUUUCAGAGUACAAGUCUUUUAUCUUUUUAGGUAGGUUUAUUCGUAGGUAUUCUCUUCUUUUUGAUGAGAUGGUAAAAGGGACAGUUUCCCUAAUUUUGCUUUCUGAUCUUUGAUUGUUAAUAUAUAGAAAGGCAAUCGAUUUCUGUGCAUUAAUUUUGUAUCCUGCAACUUUACUAAAUUCAUUUGAUGAGCUCUAACAGUUCUCUUUAGGAUUUUCUUAGUAUCAUGUCAUCUGCAAACAGUGAUAGUUUUACUUCUUUUCUAAUUUGGAUUCCUUUUAUUUCUUUUUCUUCUCUGAUAGCCAUGGCUAGGACUUCCAAAACUAUGUUGAAUAACUUUGGUGAAAGUGGACAUCCUUGUCUUGUUCCUAAUCUUAGUGAAAAUGCUUUCAGGUUUUCACCAUUGAGAGUGAUGUUAGCUGUGGGUUUGUCAUAAACAGCUUUUGAUUAUAUUGAGGUAGUUCCUCUCUAUGCCCACUCUUCAGAGAGUUUUUAUCAGUGGGAGUUGAAUUUUGUCAAAAGCCUUUUCUGAAUCUGUUGAGAUGAUCAUAUGAUUUUUAUUUUUCAAUUUGUUGAUGGUGGUAUAUCACACUGAUAGAUUUGUGGAUACUGAAGAAUCUUUGCAUCCCUGGGAUAAAUCCUACUUGAUCAUGGUGUAUGAUCUUUUUAAUAUAUAUUUAGAUUUGGUUAACUAAUAUUUUGUUAAGGAUUUUUGCAUCUAUGUUCAUCAGUGAUAUUGGCCUAUGAUUUUCUUUUUUGUGUCUGUUAUUUUUGUCUGGUUUUGGUAUCAGGUUGAUUGUGCUUCAUAGAAUGAAUGAUACUUAUGUUUAGAAGGGAUGUUAGUCUGUAAUUUUCUUUGCCUGUAUUAUCUUUGUUGGAUUUUAGUAUCACAGUAAUUCUAGCAUCAUAAAAUGACUUGGGAGUGUUCCCUUUUUUUCUGCAAGAAUUUAUACAUAGAAUUCUUUAUUGCAUUAUUUUUUCUUUAAAUGUUUGGCACAGUUAACAUUUGAAGCCAUUUGGACCUGGUGUUAUCUUGGUGGGGAGAUUCUUAAAUGCAUAUUAAUUCAUUUUUUUUUAAAUGAGCAUAGGGCUAGUCAGGCUAUAUUUUUUUACAGAGAACUUUGGUAGUUGUGUCUUUCAAGGAAUUUGUUCAUUUCAUCUGUGUUACCAAAUAUAUUAGCAUAAAGUUAUUUACAGUAUCCCUUUAUUAUUCUUUUAAUGUCUCUAGGAUCUGUAGUUAUGUCUCUUCUUUAAUGACGGUAAUUUAUGUCUUUUCUGUUGUAUUCUUGCUCAGUCUGGUUAGAGAUUUAUCAAAUAUUGACUCCCAGAGAACCAGCUUUUGAUUUCAGUGAUUUACACAUUCAUCAUUUUCCUGUCUUCAUUUUCAGUGAAUUUUACUCUUAUCUUUAUGCUUUUCUUUGACUUGAUUUUGAUUUAAUUUUCUUUUCUUGGUUUCUUAAGGUGGGUGCUUAAGUUGUUGAUUAUAAACCUUUUUUCUUUAAUUCUGUGAACAUUUAGAUGCUAUUCAUUUUCCUCAAAGUAGUGUGUGGUUGUUUCCCAUGUGUUUUGAUAUGUUGUUUUAGCUUUUAUGACAUUCAAAAAAUUUUCUAAUUUUCCUGAUAAUUUGACCUUUGACCCAUGAAUUAUUUGGAAGUGGGUUUUUAUAAAUAUUUGAACAUUUUCUAAAUUUUUUUUCUGUUAUUGAGUUCUAAAUUAAUUAACAUUUUUGUAUGAUUUUAAUUAUUUUAAAUUUGUUAAAGUUUAUUUUGUAGCUCAGAACAUGGUCUAUCUUGGGGAAUGUUUCAUAUGCACUUAAAAAUGUGUAUUCCACAGUUCCCCUUGUGGCACAGCAGAAACGAAUCUGAAUAGGAACCAUAAGGUUGCAAGUUCGACCCCUGGCCUCGCUCAGUGGGUUAAGGAUCCUGCAUUGCUGUGAGCUGUGGUGUAGGCUGCAGAUCCUGCAUUGCUGUGGCUGUGGCAUAGGCUGGCAGCUGUAGCUCUGAUUAAACCCCUAGCCUGGGAACCUCCAUAUGCUGUGAGUGUGGCCCCAUAAAA